GCCGGGAUCGCAUAAUCUGGUAUUGCACUGAUUCAGCUGAGUUAGUCUCUCUGAAGUGUAAGCCUUGAAAUAAUACGCAGGUUAGCCAGGCCCUAACGGGCAUCUGGGUUCAAAUCCCAGUCCCGGCG
Molecule: transfer RNA, 128 nt
Filed under: Candidatus Woesearchaeota archaeon
Lineage: Archaea; Nanobdellati; Candidatus Woesearchaeota
Description: tRNA-OTHER
Source: RNAcentral